This 1176-nucleotide ribosomal RNA is filed under the name Triticum aestivum (bread wheat). RNAcentral's name for it is "partial small subunit ribosomal RNA". Lineage: Eukaryota; Viridiplantae; Streptophyta; Magnoliopsida; Poales; Poaceae. The record is from RNAcentral.
AUGCUUAAUAGGAGAGGAAGAUUAGUGUACAUCAAUUCGGUGGUCACGGCAACGACAGCUUACUUCUUGACAGCCUUUGCCCCGGAUAAGUGGUUUAUUAAGAAGGUGGAUAAGUUGAGAAGAAACUUUCUUUGGGAGGCUGCAGAUGCAAACAUUGGAGGGAAAAGCCUUGUCAACUGGAAGCAAGUUUGCUCCCCGAUAAGAUGUGGUGGACUAGGGGUCAAAAACAUUGACUGCUUCAGCCGUGCUCUCCGUCUAAGGUGGGAAUGGUUUCGAUGGGAAGAUGAGGAUAGGCCAUGGAAGGUAUCGCCGACGCCUUGCGGUGAGAUGGAUAAGCAGUUGUUUACGAGCUGCACGUCGAUUCAGCUUGGAGACGGCAGCAUUGCGGCGUUCUGGAGGGACCGAUGGUUAAACGGGGAGGCCCCAUGUCUUAUAUAUCCUGAGUUAUACCAACUGGCCAGAUUCAAGAAGAUGUCGGUUAGAGAGGCGCUCAACAAUGGAAGGUGGAUGCUUGGGCUACAGAGAAUGACAAUAGAUGGGCAACUCAAUCAGUUCGUUUGACUUUGGGAGGAACUUCAGUUGAUCCAGCUCACGGAUAGCAAAGACAAGAUCCUCUGGAACCUGACCGCUAAUCGAAAAUACUCUGCCGUCUCUGCUUAUGAUGCCCACUUUGUUGCAAGAAUCAACAAGCCUGGGAUGGCCCAAGUGUGGAGGGGCAAGAUGGAAGGAAAAGUUAAAUUCUACUUAUGGUUGUUGCUGCAAAACAGAAAUUGGACGGCGGAUCGUCUGCAAGCGAGGGGGUUGCCGCACAAUGACCUAUGUUGCUUUUGUGAUCAAGAAAAGGAGACGGCCGAACACAUCGCCCUGACCUGCUGCUUUGCGAAAGAGGUUUGGCUCCAGUCCCAGCAAGCUGAUGACAGGAUGGGCAUGCUGGCCUCCUCGGCAACCUCCAUUGGUGAGUGGUGGUCUCGGCUAUGCACAUGCGAUGGAAUCAAGGACAAAAACAGAGAUGCAAUCACACUUGCUGCUUACAUAGUGUGGAACUUGUGGAAAGAAAGAAACCGUAGGGUAUUUGAGCAGAAGGAGAUGACGUCGACUGCACUUGCUGGACUGAUAAGAGAAGAUGUCAAGAUUUUCUACGAGGCCAACAAAGAGGCGGGCGCUGGGGACACAUAA